GCGGAUGAGUUGAAGAUGCUACAAUACAAUGCUCAAGCUUGUGAUAUCCUCUUCAACGGAUUGUGCCCCGAAGAAUUCAACAAAAUCAUCCGUCUUGAGAAUGCAAAGGAAAUUUGGGAUACUUUGAUUGAUAUGCACGAAGGUACCGACUCCGUCAAGGAAUCCAAGUUGGAUGUGCUUCAAAGUCAACUUGACAAGUUCAAAAUGAAGGAUGGUGAAGGUGUCGCUGAGAUGUACUCUAGGCUUGCUCUUAUCACAAAUGAGAUUGCCGGCUUAGGAAGUGAAGAGAUGACCGAAAAAUUCAUCAUCAAGAAGAUCCUAAGAGCCUUGGAUGGAAAAUACGAUACCGUAUGCACAUUGAUCCAAAUGAUGCCAAAUUACAAAGAUCUCAAGCCAACGGAAGUCAUUGGGAGAAUUGUUGCUCAUGAGAUGUCACUCAAG
This 441-nucleotide ribosomal RNA is filed under the name Triticum aestivum (bread wheat). RNAcentral's name for it is "partial small subunit ribosomal RNA". Lineage: Eukaryota; Viridiplantae; Streptophyta; Magnoliopsida; Poales; Poaceae. The record is from RNAcentral.